This 609-nucleotide unclassified non-coding RNA is filed under the name Hevea brasiliensis (rubber tree). The record is from RNAcentral. Lineage: Eukaryota; Viridiplantae; Streptophyta; Magnoliopsida; Malpighiales; Euphorbiaceae.
GACAAUGCAUGAGCAAUUGGCUAUCAAAAUGGUCUUGGAUAAGUCAACCAAUUAAAUGAUUGUAUAUUAUUUAACAUCCCAAACCUUGCACAGACAUGUUUAAUGGGGCUGCAACACUCUUUAAAAAAUUGUGAUACAUUGCAAAAGAUUUAGAUAGUCCCAUUGGUUAAGUGAGUCAAUUUUAUCAGCACAAGGCGAAUAGGCGAUUAUUCAUGUGAUUAAUGAUUACCAGACACUUUCAAUUUUAUAGAGUAAUUAGAGAAUUCAUAAUAUCUCUCUCUUAUUUCCAUGUUAUCUGAGAUUUUCCCCUAGGCUGGAACAGAUACCUCUUAAAAAAUUUAAACCAAACAUAAGAACCCCAUCAGUUAAUAAGCAGCAGAUACUAAUUAAUGCCAACAGUGUUUUCCAGUAGUAAAUGCCAGAAGUAUUUCCAGCAGAAAGUUAGUUAAGCAUAAGAAGACUGAAGGUCAAGCAACUAUCACCAGAAGUUUCCGAACCUCAUUACAGCAUUUAAAACCAACACAUUACUGUUGCUUAUAACAAAACUAACAGGAAAAAGAAAUAGAACAUAGAAGAGCAGAUCCAAACCUCACUGCCAUUCAAUGUCAU